AACGAACGCUGGCGGUAUGCCUAACACAUGCAAGUCGAACGACACCUCCGGGAAUACUGGCGCUUGCGUGUGUAACGUGUCGGACGCUGCCGUUAUGCUUGGAAUACUACUUUGUCGUGGGUGCUAAUAUCGGAUAACGUCCUCUGAUCCCAGAUUCAUCCACUUUGGAAGAGCACGCGUUGUAUUAGCUAGUCGGUAGGGUAAAAGCCUACCACGGCGACGAUCCAUAGCUGGUUUGAGAGGAUGAUCAGCGACACUGGGACUGUGACACGGCCCAGACUCCUACAGGAGGCAGCAGUGGGGAAUAUUGGAAUAUGGGCGAGGGCCUGAUCCAGCAAUGCCGGGUGAGUGAUGAAGGCCUUAGAGUUAUGAAGCACGUUUACCCGGGGUGAUAAUGACAGUACCGGAAGAAUAAGCACCGGCUAACUCCGUG
This 433-nucleotide ribosomal RNA is filed under the name uncultured bacterium. RNAcentral's name for it is "partial 16S ribosomal RNA". It matches the Rfam family "Bacterial small subunit ribosomal RNA", at positions 29 to 507 of the family's 1533-position model. The record is from RNAcentral.